AGGAAAAACGCUGGCGGCGUGCAUGAGACAUGCAAGUCAAACGGACGAUCGGGGUUCGCUCUGAUCGUUAGUGGCGGACGGCUGAGUAACGCGUAGGUGACCUGCCCCGAAGUGGGGAAUAACUGCCCGAAAGGGUGGCUAAUACCGCAUGUGGUGGUGCGUUCGAUCGCACCAGUAAAGCCGCAAGGCGCUUCGGGAGGGGCCCGCGUCCGAUUAGCUCGUUGGUGAGGUAACGGCUCACCAAGGCGACGAUCGGUAGGUGGUCUGAGAGGACGAUCACCCAGACUGGGACUGAGACACGGCCCAGACUCCUACGGGAGGCAGCAGUCGGGAAUUUUGCGCAAUGGACGAAAGUCUGACGCAGCAACGCCGCGUGAGGGAUGAAGGCCUUCGGGUUGUAAACCUCUUUUUCCAGGGAAGAUAAUGACGGUACCUGGCGAAUAAGUCACGGCUAACUACGUGCCAGCAGCCGC
This 473-nucleotide ribosomal RNA is filed under the name uncultured bacterium. RNAcentral's name for it is "SSU rRNA". It matches the Rfam family "Bacterial small subunit ribosomal RNA", at positions 26 to 518 of the family's 1533-position model. The record is from RNAcentral.